CUGCUGUCUUUCUGCUUACAGAAAAGCAUCCUAACCAUGAGGCUGCCAGAGGAUGUGACAGGGCAGAGUCUGUAGAGAUGGAAGUAAGGGGAGCAGAUGCCAGUAGAUCAGACAGCGAAGUGUCUACAGAGAGACAGCCUUUGAAGCCAGGAGGGGAAGGAGAGGCAGGU
Megalops cyprinoides (Indo-Pacific tarpon) is the source of this 170-nucleotide long non-coding RNA. RefSeq lists it as uncharacterized. The transcript is spliced from 3 exons. Lineage: Eukaryota; Metazoa; Chordata; Actinopteri; Elopiformes; Megalopidae. The record is from RefSeq and is a predicted model, not a curated record.